This 981-nucleotide long non-coding RNA is filed under the name Homo sapiens (human). Its description in RNAcentral is "IGSF11 antisense RNA 1". The record is from RNAcentral. Lineage: Eukaryota; Metazoa; Chordata; Mammalia; Primates; Hominidae.
ACAAAAAGCAGUUACUCCACAGAAGACCAGAGGGGUCCUCCCAGCAUUGUGGCUCUAUGAGGAAACUGAGACCCAGAGAUGGAACUGGGAUUCAAAACAAUGUCUAGUGUGACUCCAGAGCCUUUCCUAACUCCUACUUAAAGCCUCUGAGGAAUGCUGAAAAGAGCACAGGACAUAGAAUCCAGUUGAGACCAGAAGCAGCAGCAGUCCUCGACAUCAACUACAACUUUCCUUCGCACAGUGCAUACCCUCUGAUAUACUGAACCCAACGCCUAUCCUCCAGCCCCCUAAGAACUAGAGAGGGAGCCUCACAACAUUCCAAUUUAAUCCUUCAGAAAAUUCAUUACUCUUCAAAGUUGUCUGUGGUUUUGUGACAACGAUAUGACUAGGUGCAAAAUGGCUUGCAACUAAUUAACAAACAUAGAAGCAUCCAACAAACAUAUACGUGCACAAUCUGAGGAUUUAGGGAUGAAAUCAGUUAUCCAGGUUAGAUAUCAACAAAAGAGCAGUAAUUAUAAAGUUUCAUGAAGAAAGUGGCUGUUGAGGUGUGGAUUAUGUAAGUAAGACUGACAACAAGAAAUGAUUUUGUUAUAAUCCAGAAGUAAAACUAAAUAAAUGUUCUUUAAAUUGAUGGAUAAAUAAGAAAGAAUUUAUUUACAACAGUAAAUAAAUCCAAUACUUGUUAUAAAUAAGAUAAAGCUGGCUAUAAAUUCACAUUUUCAUGUGAGCGUUUUGAAGUAUGUGGACAUAAAAAACACACACCUCAAGCAUACUUCUCAAUGAUUUCUGAUAAAGAACACACCUUUGUAACCAGCACAUGGUGUAAAACCAGAAACAGAACAUUACCAGAUUCCUAAACAAGCCUUCUUUGUGCCCCUUUUUAGUCACUACCCUCCCCCAUUCAAGGUAACUUCUAUCUUGACUUCUAACACCACACUUUUAGUUUUGCCUAUUGUUAACUUGAUAUAAAUAGAAUGAUAC